UCUCUAUGAUGAUCAAAGGUUCUCAAUAAUCAGUUCUGCUUCUGAUCUCCCUUGAAGAAAGCAUUACCAAAGCUUACCAAUUUGUCUGAUCU
This 92-nucleotide small nucleolar RNA is filed under the name Cladophialophora yegresii CBS 114405. Lineage: Eukaryota; Fungi; Ascomycota; Eurotiomycetes; Chaetothyriales; Herpotrichiellaceae. The record is from RNAcentral.